RNAcentral lists this ribosomal RNA (253 nucleotides) under uncultured bacterium. RNAcentral's name for it is "partial 16S ribosomal RNA". It matches the Rfam family "Bacterial small subunit ribosomal RNA", at positions 524 to 776 of the family's 1533-position model. The record is from RNAcentral.
UACGUAGGGUGCGAGCGUUAAUCGGAAUUACUGGGCGUAAAGGGUGCGCAGGCGGCAGAGCAAGUCGAGUGUGAAAGCCCCGGGCUUAACUUGGGAAUUGCGCUCGAAACUACUUUGCUGGAGUGUGGCAGAGGAAGGUGGAAUUCCACGUGUAGCGGUGAAAUGCGUAGAGAUGUGGAGGAACACCAAUGGCGAAGGCAGCCUUCUGGGCCAACACUGACGCUCAUGCACGAAAGCGUGGGGAGCAAACAGG